GGGGCCGCACGCGCGCUACACUGAAGGAACCAGCGAGCGAUUUCCCCGUCCGGCAGGACCGGGCAACCCCGUGAGCCUCCUUCGUGAUAGGGACAGGGGCCUGUAACUGUUCCCCUCGAACGAGGAACUCCCAGUAAGCGCGAGUCACUAGCUCGCGCUGAUUAGGUCCCUGCCCUUUGUACACACCGCCCGUCGCUACUACCGAUUGAAUGAUUUAGUGAGGUCUUCGGACUGGCGCCCGGAGCGGACCCCGCGCCGGGCCGGCGCGCCGGAAAGAUGACCGAACUUGAUCAUUUAGAGGAAGUAAAAGUCGUAACAAGGUUUCC
RNAcentral lists this ribosomal RNA (326 nucleotides) under Priscula venezuelana. RNAcentral describes it as "bacterial SSU rRNA". It matches the Rfam family "Eukaryotic small subunit ribosomal RNA", at positions 1483 to 1804 of the family's 1831-position model. The record is from RNAcentral. Lineage: Eukaryota; Metazoa; Arthropoda; Arachnida; Araneae; Pholcidae.